GCAGGAUUCUUGUAGUCCGACAAUGCUGCAAUCCGCCAUCUUAAUAAAACCACACCCUUUUUUUACAUGGGCUCUUAUGGAAGUAUUUUUUCCAAGUGCUUUUUCUCUUAGCUGGAUUACAACUUCGACCAAAGAAAAAUAUACAAAAAUACUACAUCAUUCAGGGCAUAUGGGCAUUGUUUACAUAUGUAGGACCCAAACAUAUUGUCAUGUGUGACGAGGUAUUGGUGGAAAAUGCUGUAAUCCAUCUAUUCGACCUCUAAAGAAGAACUGGUGGUGUUUUUU
RNAcentral lists this long non-coding RNA (285 nucleotides) under Daphnia pulicaria. RNAcentral describes it as "uncharacterized LOC124320604". The record is from RNAcentral. Lineage: Eukaryota; Metazoa; Arthropoda; Branchiopoda; Diplostraca; Daphniidae.